RNAcentral lists this ribosomal RNA (1948 nucleotides) under Escherichia coli. RNAcentral's name for it is "partial 23S ribosomal RNA". It matches the Rfam family "Bacterial large subunit ribosomal RNA", at positions 1015 to 2925 of the family's 2925-position model. The record is from RNAcentral. Lineage: Bacteria; Pseudomonadati; Pseudomonadota; Gammaproteobacteria; Enterobacterales; Enterobacteriaceae.
GAGGGAAACAACCCAGACCGCCAGCUAAGGUCCCAAAGUCAUGGUUAAGUGGGAAACGAUGUGGGAAGGCCCAGACAGCCAGGAUGUUGGCUUAGAAGCAGCCAUCAUUUAAAGAAAGCGUAAUAGCUCACUGGUCGAGUCGGCCUGCGCGGAAGAUGUAACGGGGCUAAACCAUGCACCGAAGCUGCGGCAGCGACACUGUGUGUUGUUGGGUAGGGGAGCGUUCUGUAAGCCUGUGAAGGUGUGCUGUGAGGCAUGCUGGAGGUAUCAGAAGUGCGAAUGCUGACAUAAGUAACGAUAAAGCGGGUGAAAAGCCCGCUCGCCGGAAGACCAAGGGUUCCUGUCCAACGUUAAUCGGGGCAGGGUGAGUCGACCCCUAAGGCGAGGCCGAAAGGCGUAGUCGAUGGGAAACAGGUUAAUAUUCCUGUACUUGGUGUUACUGCGAAGGGGGGACGGAGAAGGCUAUGUUGGCCGGGCGACGGUUGUCCCGGUUUAAGCGUGUAGGCUGGUUUUCCAGGCAAAUCCGGAAAAUCAAGGCUGAGGCGUGAUGACGAGGCACUACGGUGCUGAAGCAACAAAUGCCCUGCUUCCAGGAAAAGCCUCUAAGCAUCAGGUAACAUCAAAUCGUACCCCAAACCGACACAGGUGGUCAGGUAGAGAAUACCAAGGCGCUUGAGAGAACUCGGGUGAAGGAACUAGGCAAAAUGGUGCCGUAACUUCGGGAGAAGGCACGCUGAUAUGUAGGUGAAGUCCCUCGCGGAUGGAGCUGAAAUCAGUCGAAGAUACCAGCUGGCUGCAACUGUUUAUUAAAAACACAGCACUGUGCAAACACGAAAGUGGACGUAUACGGUGUGACGCCUGCCCGGUGCCGGAAGGUUAAUUGAUGGGGUCAGCGCAAGCGAAGCUCUUGAUCGAAGCCCCGGUAAACGGCGGCCGUAACUAUAACGGUCCUAAGGUAGCGAAAUUCCUUGUCGGGUAAGUUCCGACCUGCACGAAUGGCGUAAUGAUGGCCAGGCUGUCUCCACCCGAGACUCAGUGAAAUUGAACUCGCUGUGAAGAUGCAGUGUACCCGCGGCAAGACGGAAAGACCCCGUGAACCUUUACUAUAGCUUGACACUGAACAUUGAGCCUUGAUGUGUAGGAUAGGUGGGAGGCUUUGAAGUGUGGACGCCAGUCUGCAUGGAGCCGACCUUGAAAUACCACCCUUUAAUGUUUGAUGUUCUAACGUGGACCCGUGAUCCGGGUUGCGGACAGUGUCUGGUGGGUAGUUUGACUGGGGCGGUCUCCUCCUAAAGAGUAACGGAGGAGCACGAAGGUUGGCUAAUCCUGGUCGGACAUCAGGAGGUUAGUGCAAUGGCAUAAGCCAGCUUGACUGCGAGCGUGACGGCGCGAGCAGGUGCGAAAGCAGGUCAUAGUGAUCCGGUGGUUCUGAAUGGAAGGGCCAUCGCUCAACGGAUAAAAGGUACUCCGGGGAUAACAGGCUGAUACCGCCCAAGAGUUCAUAUCGACGGCGGUGUUUGGCACCUCGAUGUCGGCUCAUCACAUCCUGGGGCUGAAGUAGGUCCCAAGGGUAUGGCUGUUCGCCAUUUAAAGUGGUACGCGAGCUGGGUUUAGAACGUCGUGAGACAGUUCGGUCCCUAUCUGCCGUGGGCGCUGGAGAACUGAGGGGGGCUGCUCCUAGUACGAGAGGACCGGAGUGGACGCAUCACUGGUGUUCGGGUUGUCAUGCCAAUGGCACUGCCCGGUAGCUAAAUGCGGAAGAGAUAAGUGCUGAAAGCAUCUAAGCACGAAACUUGCCCCGAGAUGAGUUCUCCCUGACCCUUUAAGGGUCCUGAAGGAACGUUGAAGACGACGACGUUGAUAGGCCGGGUGUGUAAGCGCAGCGAUGCGUUGAGCUAACCGGUACUAAUGAACCGUGAGGCUUAACCUUACAACGCCGAAGGUGUUU